AUGACUUUGAUCUGCGUCCUCAUCUGGACUCUCCUCUGCUGCUGCUUCACAGAGUCCAGAGGACAGAUCACAGUGACUCAGCCUGGAGCAGUGAGCUCUGCUGUGGGAGGAACUGUGAGCAUCAAGUGUAGGACCAGUCAGAGGGUAUAUGGUGGAAGCUGUUUAGCCUGGUACCAACAGAAAGAUGGAGGAAUUCCUAAACUGCUCAUUUAUGAUGCUAGCUCUCAGUAUUCAGGGAUUCCAGCUCGUUUUACAGGCAGUGGAUCAAACGCUGACUUCACUCUGACCAUCAGUGGAGUCCAGGCUGAAGAUGCAGCAGUUUAUUACUGUCAGAGUUUUCAUGUUAUCAACAGUCAGUAUGUGUUCACACAGUGAAAAACAGUCAUACAAAAACCUCCCUCAGUCAGACUGAACAGAAACUGAACUGACUGCUGCAGCUGGAAGAUACUGCAGAGACUGAUACAGUUCACUGAGGACA
Non-coding RNA from Oreochromis aureus, 478 nucleotides. NCBI's taxonomy places the organism in Eukaryota, Metazoa, Chordata, Actinopteri, Cichliformes, Cichlidae. The record is from the annotation of a RefSeq genome assembly.